RNAcentral lists this transfer RNA (58 nucleotides) under Rattus norvegicus (Norway rat). It matches the Rfam family "tRNA", at positions 8 to 63 of the family's 71-position model. From Rfam's summary of the family: Transfer RNA (tRNA) molecules are approximately 80 nucleotides in length. The record is from Rfam by way of RNAcentral. Lineage: Eukaryota; Metazoa; Chordata; Mammalia; Rodentia; Muridae.
UGGCUUAAUUGGUAAAGUGCUUGCCUGGCAUGCAUGAGGCCCUGGGUGUGAUCCCCAG